AACGAACGCUGGCGGCGUGUUUAAGACAUGCAAGUCGCACGGGACUAUUUGAGUAGCAAUACAAGAAUAGUCUAGUGGCGCACGGGUGAGUAACACGUGAAUUACAUGCCCUGCAGAGGGGGAUAGCCCAGGGAAACUUGGAUUAAUACCCCAUGGUAUCGCGAGAUUAAAGGUGGCCGCAAGGCUGUCGCUGCAGGAUUGGUUCGCGCCCUAUCAGCUUGUUGGUGAGGUAACGGCUCACCAAGGCUACGACGGGUACCUGGUCUGAGAGGACGAUCAGGCACACUGGAACGAAGACACGGUCCAGACACCUACGGGUGGCAGCAGUCGAGAAUAAUUCACAAUGGGGGCAACCCUGAUGGUGCAACGCCGCGUGGAGGAUGAAGGUCUUCGAUUGUAAACUCCUGUCAUCCGGGAGUAAGACCUGGCGAUGAAUAGUCGACAGGGUUGAUAGUACCGGAAGAGGAAGGGACGGCUAACUUCGUGCCAGCCGCCGCGGUAA
Molecule: ribosomal RNA, 502 nt
Filed under: uncultured bacterium
Lineage: Bacteria
Description: partial 16S ribosomal RNA
Rfam family: Bacterial small subunit ribosomal RNA
Source: RNAcentral